This is a small nuclear RNA of Styela clava, 108 nucleotides long. The record is from RefSeq and is a predicted model, not a curated record. NCBI's taxonomy places the organism in Eukaryota, Metazoa, Chordata, Ascidiacea, Stolidobranchia, Styelidae.
AAUGGGACGAUUGAAACACUUUACGAAAAAAUUGGAACGAUACAGAGAAGAUUAGCAUGACUCCUGCGAAAGGAUGACACGCAAAAUCUUGAAGCGUUUCUCUAUUUU